AGUACGAGAGGACCGGGAUGGACGUGUCACUGGUGCACCAGUUGUUCUGCCAAGAGCAUCGCUGGGUAGCUACACACGGAUGUGAUAACUGCUGAAAGCAUCUAAGCAGGAAGCCAACUCCAAGAUAAACUUUCCCUGAAGCUCGCACAAAGACUAUGUGCUUGAUAGGGUAGAUGUGUGAGCGCAGUAAUGCGUUUAGCUGACUACUACUAAUAGAGCGUUUGGCUUGUUUUU
Molecule: ribosomal RNA, 234 nt
Filed under: Helicobacter pylori
Lineage: Bacteria; Pseudomonadati; Campylobacterota; Epsilonproteobacteria; Campylobacterales; Helicobacteraceae
Description: partial 23S ribosomal RNA
Rfam family: Bacterial large subunit ribosomal RNA
Source: RNAcentral